Molecule: ribosomal RNA, 233 nt
Filed under: uncultured bacterium
Lineage: Bacteria
Description: partial 16S ribosomal RNA
Rfam family: Bacterial small subunit ribosomal RNA
Source: RNAcentral
GAGGUAACGGCUCACCAAGGCAACGAUGCGUAGCCGACCUGAGAGGGUGAUCGGCCACAUUGGAACUGAGACACGGUCCAGACUCCUACGGGAGGCAGCAGUGGGGAAUAUUGCGCAAUGGGGGAAACCCUGACGCAGCAACGCCGCGUGAGUGAUGAAGGUUUUCGGAUCGUAAAACUCUGUCAUUAGGGACGAUAAUGACGGUACCUAAUGAGGAAGCCACGGCUAACUAC